Molecule: long non-coding RNA, 393 nt
Filed under: Cricetulus griseus (Chinese hamster)
Lineage: Eukaryota; Metazoa; Chordata; Mammalia; Rodentia; Cricetidae
Description: lncRNA (ENSCGRG00015031910.1)
Source: RNAcentral
GUACCAUAGAGUGAAUCUCAGAACAGGAAGCGGAGGCAUAAGCAGAGAGGAUUCUGGAAAGGUCCCUUUGUUUUCAUGUCCACAGAGAAAGCAAGAAAAAAAAUUGAAUUUAAUUUGCAAAUCCCUGUGGCCCAAAUCUGAAGAACUGCAGGGGGAGGCACGUUCCAUUCUAACCAUCUUGGAUGCUGGCCUUUGUUGAGCUGUGAUUCCUAAGGCUCUCCAUCAGAUUAUGGAGCAAGAGAGCUGAAGUCAAGCACACCAGAGUUAGUCAGCAAUGACAUAUCUGUCAAGGAUUCGUGGCAGAGUGACUUACUGGGAAAAAACACAAAAUCCCUUCUAGGGAUAUUAUAAGAGCAAAUGAGAUAAUUCCCAGAAGGGGCCUGGAGCUUUUCC